GCCUGUUAAAUAGGGAUUGCAUCGGACUGUCGAUCCGAAGGUUGAGGGUUCGAGUCCCUUCGGCC
This 65-nucleotide transfer RNA is filed under the name Deltaproteobacteria bacterium. RNAcentral describes it as "tRNA-Asp". The stretch from base 5 to 60 matches the Rfam family "tRNA", at positions 10 to 63 of the family's 71-position model. From Rfam's summary of the family: Transfer RNA (tRNA) molecules are approximately 80 nucleotides in length. Their secondary structure includes four short double-helical elements and three loops (D, anti-codon, and T loops). The record is from RNAcentral. Lineage: Bacteria; Pseudomonadati; Myxococcota; Myxococcia.